RNAcentral lists this ribosomal RNA (367 nucleotides) under Escherichia coli. RNAcentral describes it as "bacterial SSU rRNA". It matches the Rfam family "Bacterial small subunit ribosomal RNA", at positions 1 to 362 of the family's 1533-position model. The record is from RNAcentral. Lineage: Bacteria; Pseudomonadati; Pseudomonadota; Gammaproteobacteria; Enterobacterales; Enterobacteriaceae.
UUAAAUUGAAGAGUUUGAUCAUGGCUCAGAUUGAACGCUGGCGGCAGGCCUAACACAUGCAAGUCGAACGGUAACAGGAAGCAGCUUGCUGUUUCGCUGACGAGUGGCGGACGGGUGAGUAAUGUCUGGGAAACUGCCUGAUGGAGGGGGAUAACUACUGGAAACGGUAGCUAAUACCGCAUAACGUCGCAAGACCAAAGAGGGGGACCUUCGGGCCUCUUGCCAUCGGAUGUGCCCAGAUGGGAUUAGCUAGUAGGUGGGGUAACGGCUCACCUAGGCGACGAUCCCUAGCUGGUCUGAGAGGAUGACCAGCCACACUGGAACUGAGACACGGUCCAGACUCCUACGGGAGGCAGCAGUGGGGAAU